This 352-nucleotide unclassified non-coding RNA is filed under the name soil metagenome. Its description in RNAcentral is "partial contains 5.8S ribosomal RNA, internal transcribed spacer 2, and large subunit ribosomal RNA". The stretch from base 1 to 120 matches the Rfam family "5.8S ribosomal RNA", at positions 35 to 154 of the family's 154-position model. The record is from RNAcentral.
GAUGAAGAACGCAGCGAAAUGCGAUAAGUAAUGUGAAUUGCAGAAUUCAGUGAAUCAUCGAAUCUUUGAACGCACAUUGCGCCCGCCAGUAUUCUGGCGGGCAUGCCUGUUCGAGCGUCAUUACAACCCUCAGGCCCCCGGGCCUGGCGUUGGGGAUCGGCGGAGCCCCCCGUGGGCACACGCCGUCCCCCAAAUGCAGUGGCGGUCCCGCCGCAGCUUCCAUCGCGUAGUAGCUAACACCUCGCGACUGGAGAGCGGCGCGGCCACGCCGUAAAACACCCAACUCUUCUGAAGUUGACCUCGAAUCAGGUAGGAAUACCCGCUGAACUUAAGCAUAUCAAUAAACGGAGGA